GGGAUGGCUCAGGGGUUAAGAGCACUGGCUGUUCCACCAGAGGACCUGGGUUCAAUUCCCAGCACCCA
RNAcentral lists this transfer RNA (68 nucleotides) under Cricetulus griseus (Chinese hamster). It matches the Rfam family "tRNA". From Rfam's summary of the family: Transfer RNA (tRNA) molecules are approximately 80 nucleotides in length. Their secondary structure includes four short double-helical elements and three loops (D, anti-codon, and T loops). Lineage: Eukaryota; Metazoa; Chordata; Mammalia; Rodentia; Cricetidae. The record is from Rfam by way of RNAcentral.